UACGGAGGGAGCUAGCGUUGUUCGGAAUUACUUGGCGUAAAGCGCACGUAGGCGGCUUUUUAAGUCAGGGGUGAAAUCCCGGAGCUCAACUCCGGAACUGCCCUUGAAACUGGGAAGCUAGAAUCUUGGAGAGGCGAGUGGAAUUCCGAGUGUAGAGGUGAAAUUCGUAGAUAUUCGGAAGAACACCAGUGGCGAAGGCGACUCGCUGGACAAGUAUUGACGCUGAGGUGCGAAAGCGUGGGGAGCAAACAGG
RNAcentral lists this ribosomal RNA (253 nucleotides) under uncultured bacterium. RNAcentral describes it as "partial 16S ribosomal RNA". It matches the Rfam family "Bacterial small subunit ribosomal RNA", at positions 524 to 776 of the family's 1533-position model. The record is from RNAcentral.